GACGAACGCUGGCGGCGUGCUUAACACAUGCAAGUCGAACGAUGAAGCUGGAGCUUGCUCUAGCGGAUUAGUGGCGAACGGGUGAGUAACACGUGAGCAAUCUGCCCUUGACUCUGGGAUAACUGCGGGAAACUGUAGCUAAUACCGGAUACUUUCACCGGGGGGCAUCCUCUGGUGAUGAAAGAAUUUCGGUCAAGGAUGAGCUCGCGGCCUAUCAGCUUGUUGGUGAGGUAACGGCUCACCAAGGCGACGACGGGUAACCGGCCUGAGAGGGUGACCGGUCAUACUGGGACUGAGACACGGCCCAGACUCCUACGGGAGGCAGCAGUGGGGAAUAUUGCGCAAUGGGCGAAAGCCUGACGCAGCAACGCCGCGUGCGGGAUGACGGCCUUCGGGUUGUAAACCGCUUUCAGCAGGGAAGAAGCCGCAAGGUGACGGUACCUGCAGAAGAAGCACCGGCUAACUACGUGCCAGCCGCCGCCGUAA
RNAcentral lists this ribosomal RNA (486 nucleotides) under uncultured bacterium. RNAcentral's name for it is "partial 16S ribosomal RNA". It matches the Rfam family "Bacterial small subunit ribosomal RNA", at positions 28 to 523 of the family's 1533-position model. The record is from RNAcentral.